UACAUAGGGUGCAAGCGUUACUCGGAAUUACUGGGCGUAAAGCGUGCGCAGGCGGCUUUGCAAGACAGAUGUGAAAUCCCCGGGCUCAACCUGGGAACUGCAUUUGUGACUGCAAGGCUGGAGUACGGCAGAGGGGGAUGGAAUUCCGCGUGUAGCAGUGAAAUGCGUAGAGAUCGGGAGGAACACCCGUGGCGAAGGCGGCCAUCUGGACCAGCACUGACGCUGAGGCACGAAAGCGUGGGGAGCAAACAGG
This 253-nucleotide ribosomal RNA is filed under the name uncultured bacterium. RNAcentral's name for it is "partial 16S ribosomal RNA". It matches the Rfam family "Bacterial small subunit ribosomal RNA", at positions 524 to 776 of the family's 1533-position model. The record is from RNAcentral.